AAUAGAAGUUUUAUUAAAAGAAAAAGGGGUGAAAAGAACAAAGUUUUGUCCAUCUUUGUUCAUCAUAGCUGAAAGUUAGAGAAGAGAAAGGAGAGGAGAAAGCUCUUGAGUAUUCGGUCAUUAGGAGGAGGAAAAUUGAAGGAAAUCCCCAACCAUAGUGGGCUUGGAGCUGUGAGGGAAUUCGGAGUGGCCACCCGUUCUGAAAGUUUGAUUUUCUUCUGGUGAACUGGACAUCCUUUUAAUUACGUUUGAGGUUUUGGGCUUUUAAAUGUAAUAAGGCCGCUUAUUUAUUUUUGAUGGUUUUUAAUAUGUAUUACUAAGAUAGGUAAUACUUAUUUUAAUUGUUGAAAUUGGAUAGCUUUAGGGCGCGUUUUCAAAAACAA
Long non-coding RNA from Gossypium arboreum, 383 nucleotides. RefSeq lists it as uncharacterized. The record is from RefSeq and is a predicted model, not a curated record. Lineage: Eukaryota; Viridiplantae; Streptophyta; Magnoliopsida; Malvales; Malvaceae. The transcript has 2 exons.